This 301-nucleotide ribosomal RNA is filed under the name uncultured bacterium. RNAcentral's name for it is "partial 16S ribosomal RNA". It matches the Rfam family "Bacterial small subunit ribosomal RNA", at positions 509 to 807 of the family's 1533-position model. The record is from RNAcentral.
CAGUCGCCACGGUAAUACGGAGGGGGCUAGCGUUGUUCGGAAUUACUGGGCGUAAAGCGCACGUAGGCGGCUUGGUAAGUUAGAGGUGAAAGCCCGGAGCUCAACUCCGGAAUUGCCCUUAAGACUGCCGAGCUAGUAGGUGAGAGAGGUAAGUGGAAUUCCGAGUGUAGAGGUGAAAUUCGUAAAUAUUCGGAAGAACACCAGUGGCGAAGGCGGCUUACUGGCUCAUUCUAGACGCUGAGGUGCGAAAGCGUGGGGAGCAAACAGGAUUAGAUACCCCGGUAGUCCCUGUCUCUUAUAC